GCAUAUAUAGAGCUAGUGAAAGACAUCCUCCAAGUCAGAAAAAAAGACCAUGAAUUCCUUAUGCAGUUCAAUGAUUGCUGCUAUCUUUGCCAUGACAUUGAUCCUUUCAUCUGGGGUGAUUAUGUCCCAAGCUAGGGUUCUUCCUUCUUCAUCCUUAGUUUCAAAAAUAUCACAAACUUCCAAUUCUCUUUCAUAUUCAAAUUUUCAUAGAGAAGAGCAAAAAUCAUCUCAGAAGCCUGUGGUAGCAGCUAGCCUUACAAAAAAACCACCUAGAAAACCAAAUCNAACUGUUCNUGAGGUAGCUGCUAGCCUUAGAAGGAUACCACCNAGCAGACCAAAUCCUACACAGAACAAGUUAAAGCCUAGGAUAAGAGGCUAAGCAGAGGAACUGAUGCAAUGGAUUGACGCUAUACAUGAAGAUUCAAGCAGUGUCAUGAACUCUGUUGCUCUAGUUUUGUUUUUGUUUCACUUUCUUUUUAGUUUUUUACUGUUUCCCAGAUUCAAAUUCUUAGGUUUAUCAGUGAGAAUUUGGUAUAGUUCAUAUCAUGACUUUAGAUUUUUCUUUGCUUUUAUCUUACCUUUUAUGCUUUAGAUUGUAGAGAAUAUAUAGCAGCUUAUGAAUGUAAAUGAGAAAAUCAAUAGCCACUUAAAAUUGUUAUGGUUU
Molecule: long non-coding RNA, 664 nt
Organism: Vigna radiata var. radiata (mung bean)
Lineage: Eukaryota; Viridiplantae; Streptophyta; Magnoliopsida; Fabales; Fabaceae
Exons: 2
Source: RefSeq, a predicted model, not a curated record